RNAcentral lists this ribosomal RNA (253 nucleotides) under uncultured bacterium. RNAcentral describes it as "partial 16S ribosomal RNA". It matches the Rfam family "Bacterial small subunit ribosomal RNA", at positions 524 to 776 of the family's 1533-position model. The record is from RNAcentral.
UACGUAGGGGGCGAGCGUUAUCCGGAAUUACUGGGUGUAAAGGGAGCGUAGACGGCGAAGUAAGCCUGAAGUGGAAGCCCGCGGCCCAACCGCGGAACUGCUUUGGGAACUGCUUAGCUGGAGUAUGGGAGGGGUAAGCGGAAUUCCUGGUGUAGCGGUGAAAUGCGUAGAUAUCAGGAGGAACACCGGUGGCGAAGGCGGCUUACUGGACCAUGACUGACGUUGAGGCUCGAAAGCGUGGGGAGCAAACAGG